RNAcentral lists this unclassified non-coding RNA (300 nucleotides) under Alatospora sp. RNAcentral describes it as "partial contains internal transcribed spacer 1". Lineage: Eukaryota; Fungi; Ascomycota; Leotiomycetes; Leotiales; Leotiaceae. The record is from RNAcentral.
AAGUCGUAACAAGGUUUCCGUAGGUGGUUCGCCUACUAAAGCCCCCCGCGACUAUAAAGAAAGGUUACAGUCUGCUUAAGCAGGCAACAUCUUCACUGUGCUAGAAAUUACCUUUCAAAGAGUAUGACUAGCAGCUCACCAGUUGAGUUCACAGAUCAAAUGAAGGUGGCCCUGAUUCAGGGUUAAGAUAUGAUCGAGUUGAAGCUAUAAUCAGCUUCUAGCAAUCGGAACCUGCGGAAGGAUCAUUAAAGAGAAUAUGCCCUUCGGGGUAGAUCUCCCACCCUUUGUUUAUAUUACCUU